GCUUACGGCCACACCACCCUGAACACGCCCGAUCUCGUCCGAUCUCGGAAGCUAAGCAGGGCCGGCCUGGUUAGUACUUGGAUGGGAGACCGCCUGGGAAAACCAGGUGCUGUAAGUU
Molecule: ribosomal RNA, 118 nt
Filed under: Oryzias javanicus (javanese ricefish)
Lineage: Eukaryota; Metazoa; Chordata; Actinopteri; Beloniformes; Adrianichthyidae
Source: RNAcentral